RNAcentral lists this ribosomal RNA (399 nucleotides) under uncultured bacterium. RNAcentral's name for it is "bacterial SSU rRNA". It matches the Rfam family "Bacterial small subunit ribosomal RNA", at positions 28 to 429 of the family's 1533-position model. The record is from RNAcentral.
GAUGAACGCUAGCGGCAGGCCUAAUACAUGCAAGUCGAGGGGUAGACGAGUGCUUGCACUUGUUGAGACCGGCGAACGGGUGCGUAACACGUAUGCAACCUACCUUUAACUGGGGGAUAGCCCGGAGAAAUCCGGAUUAAUACCCCAUAAUACUAUAGAAAGGCAUCUUUCAUUAGUUAAAGCUCCGGCGGUUAAAGAUGGGCAUGCGGUCCAUUAGCUUGUUGGUGAGGUAACGGCUCACCAAGGCUACGAUGGAUAGGGGGUCUGAGAGGAUGAUCCCCCACACUGGUACUGAGACACGGACCAGACUCCUACGGGAGGCAGCAGUAGGGAAUUUUGGACAAUGGGCGCAAGCCUGAUCCAGCCAUGCCGCGUGAGUGAAGAAGGCCUGGUUGUAAG